Molecule: long non-coding RNA, 705 nt
Organism: Vigna unguiculata (cowpea)
Lineage: Eukaryota; Viridiplantae; Streptophyta; Magnoliopsida; Fabales; Fabaceae
Source: RefSeq, a predicted model, not a curated record
UCGACUCGAGAGACUCUACUAUAUAACGAGGAACACACCCAACACCCUCUGACUCUGUCGUUUUCUCUCACCCAAACUCAAAACUAAAACCCAUUUUCUUCUCCAAAACCUUCGACUUUCUCCAACCCAAACGCGCUUCCCUUCGCUCUCUCACCCAUUUUUUCUAAUCUUCUCGCACUCUCCAAUUCCGACACUCCCGUGUGGUAAUUGAUGAAGGAGGUUGAUAAGGGGCGAAAUUUGGUUCUGUAGGUGUUUGAAGGAACCAUAUAUCACAAGAAGGUUAUGGUUUGCUGUUACACGCUUUAAUUUGCAGUGUGACAUGGAGGCUCAAAUUCAUCAACUUGAACAGGAAGCUUACUCUGCUGUCUUGCGUGCUUUCAAAGCUCAGUCUGAUACUCUUACAUGGGAGAAGGAAGAUUUGAUAACUGAACUUAGAAAAGAGUUGAGGGUUUCAGAUGAUGAACACAGAGAGCUUCUUACCAGGGUUAAUUCUGAUGAAAUAAUUCACUGCAUUAGGUUUGGGAAUUAUUUGAAUAGUUGCAAUAGUUCCGAAGAACAUUACUUUUGGCCAUUUUUCUGUUUCUUUUAUAAUGUUAUGUGAUUGAAAAUUCAAUCAGGGAGUGGAGAUAAACUGGUUGUUACCAACCUGCAAGGCGUAGAACACUUUAUACGCGUUAUUUGUUUUAAUAAAGUCUACUAUUGAUA